This 218-nucleotide long non-coding RNA is filed under the name Carica papaya (papaya). Its description in RNAcentral is "long non-coding RNA (CPAP_LNC004566)". The record is from RNAcentral. Lineage: Eukaryota; Viridiplantae; Streptophyta; Magnoliopsida; Brassicales; Caricaceae.
UAUUUCCUCAUAGCAAUUGCCUCGUUGGUGUGACGCUUUUACUCGCUUGUUUUUUCUACAAUAGGUGAAGCUACGAAAGAAGUUUGCAUUCAAGAAAUUCAUGUGGUCUGCAGAUGUGUUCCCUGAUGAACUACCCGGACUUCCAGUGGAUAGAAAAGUUGAGUUCACCAUAGAUCUUCAGCCUAGCACCCAACCUAUCUUAGUUUUUCCUUACUGCA